GUGAGGAAUAUUGGUCAAUGGGCGAGAGCCUGAACCAGCCAAGUCGCGUGAAGGAUGAAGGUUUUAUGAAUUGUAAACUUCUUUUGCAGGGGAAUAAAGUGCAGGACGUGUCCUGUUUUGUAUGUACCCUGAGAAUAAGGAUCGGCUAACUCCGUGCCAGCAGCCGCGGUAAUACGGAGGAUCCGAGCGUUAUCCGGAUUUAUUGGGUUUAAAGGGUGCGUAGGUGGUUUGAUAAGUCAGCGGUGAAAGUUUGCAGCUUAACUGUAAAAAUGCCGUUGAAACUGUCGGACUUGAGUGUAAAUGAGGUAGGCGGAAUGCGUGGUGUAGCGGUGAAAUGCAUAGAUAUCACGCAGAACUCCGAUUGCGAAGGCAGCUUACUAAGCUACAACUGACACUGAAGCACGAAAGCGUGGGGAUCAAACAGGAUUAGAAACCCGUGUAGUCC
Molecule: ribosomal RNA, 445 nt
Filed under: uncultured bacterium
Lineage: Bacteria
Description: partial 16S ribosomal RNA
Rfam family: Bacterial small subunit ribosomal RNA
Source: RNAcentral